This is a long non-coding RNA of Octodon degus (degu), 251 nucleotides long. RefSeq lists it as uncharacterized. The record is from RefSeq and is a predicted model, not a curated record. NCBI's taxonomy places the organism in Eukaryota, Metazoa, Chordata, Mammalia, Rodentia, Octodontidae. The transcript is spliced from 3 exons.
CGUUGGAAAAAUUCAGAAAAGAGCAACUUGGAGCAGUAAAGGAAGAAAAAAAGAAGUUUGACAAAGAGACAGAGAAGAAUUAUAGCCUAAUUGAUAAACAUUUGAAUCUAUCAGCCAAAAAGAAAGAUUCACAUUUACAAGAGGCAGAUCUCCAAUUGGAGCAAAACCGGCAGCACUUUUAUGAACUGUCUCUUGAAUAUGUCUGUAAGCUUCAGGAAAUACAAGAAAGGAAGAAGUUCGAGUUCGUGGAG